GACAGAGGUGGCAAGCGUUGUCCGGAAUUACUGGGCGUAAAGAGCGCGUAGGUGGCUAGAUAAGUCCGGUGUGAAAUCCUUCGGCUUAACCGGGGAAUGGCAUCGGGGACUGUAUAGCUAGAGGACGGAAGAGGAGAGCGGAAUUCCCGGUGUAGCGGUGAAAUGCGUAGAUAUUGGGAGGAACACCGGUGGCGAAGGCGGGUCUCUGGGCAGUAACUGACGCUGAGGAGCGAAAGCGUGGGGAGCGAACAGG
Molecule: ribosomal RNA, 253 nt
Filed under: uncultured bacterium
Lineage: Bacteria
Description: partial 16S ribosomal RNA
Rfam family: Bacterial small subunit ribosomal RNA
Source: RNAcentral